RNAcentral lists this unclassified non-coding RNA (368 nucleotides) under soil metagenome. Its description in RNAcentral is "partial contains 5.8S ribosomal RNA, internal transcribed spacer 2, and large subunit ribosomal RNA". The stretch from base 1 to 120 matches the Rfam family "5.8S ribosomal RNA", at positions 35 to 154 of the family's 154-position model. The record is from RNAcentral.
GAUGAAGAACGCAGCGAAAUGCGAUAAGUAAUGUGAAUUGCAGAAUUCAGUGAACCAUCGAAUCUUUGAACGCACAUUGCGCCCGGCAGUAAUCUGCCGGGCAUGCCUGUCCGAGCGUCAUUUCUGCCCUCGAGCGAGUCCAGCAUCUAGGUGCUGGGCCCGCCCGGCGUUGGGGCACUACGGGGAGCCCUGUGCUGUCCCCCGUAGGCCCCGAAAUGAAGUGGCGGUCCUGCCGCGGCGCCCCCUGCGUAGUAUAACAGCUCGCUUCGGGACCCGGUGGAGGCCUGCCGUCAAACCUUACUCUCUAAGUUUGACCUCGGAUCAGGUAGGGUUACCCGCUGAACUUAAGCAUAUCAAUAAGCGGAGGA